AGGGGCGGAGCCAGACUUUCGACUCAGGGGGGUCCAAAAUUUUUUUUUUCAAAAAAAUAAUAAUUAAAUAAAAAAAAUUAAAAAAUAAAUAAUAAUAAUUAAUAUAAUUAUAAUGUUAUUUAAAUUAUAUAGCAAGUUAAAAAAAUAAACAUAAUUAUUUUUUUAAAAAAAGUCCAAUAUAACAAUUAGCAAGCAUAUUAAUAACCAAGCACAAGUUAUAUUGUAAAGUCAAUACCCAAAAUCAUCAUUUGCAAGCUCUACAGAAACGGGGCAGAAAACUAGAAAAGUCUCAAAUUAUAGCAUAUAUUUUCUUUAGAAAAGACAUACCUUACCAUUUAGCAACAUUACCUUUGUUCUGUCACAAUAUACAUAAUACAUCAUACCAUAAAUAUUGUUUGUAAAUGCAUUUGAAUUAUUAUUAUAGCAGAUGAGAUAAUUAACCACCACAUUAAUCGUCUAGCAUCACUAAACUAGUACGAUAAUUUAUUGUUUUAUUUUUUGGAAGGACACUGGAAUAAAUUUAUGUGAAUAACCGAUUAAUUAACCGAUUAAAUUAUAAUUAAUAUAUAUUUAUUAUAUAUACUCUCAUCCCAAUUCUCAUCUCAAAUAUGAAACUAUAUCAUUCUGAAUUCGCAU
Molecule: long non-coding RNA, 636 nt
Filed under: Salvia miltiorrhiza (redroot sage)
Lineage: Eukaryota; Viridiplantae; Streptophyta; Magnoliopsida; Lamiales; Lamiaceae
Description: long non-coding RNA (SMIL_LNC000094)
Source: RNAcentral